AUUGAACGCUGGCGGCAUGCCUUACACAUGCAAGUCGAACGGCAGCACGGGAGCAAUCCUGGUGGCGAGUGGCGAACGGGUGAGUAAUAUAUCGGAACGUGCCCAGUCGUGGGGAUAACGUAGCGAAAGCUACGCUAAUACCGCAUACGAUCUAUGGAUGAAAGCGGGGGAUCGCAAGACCUCGCGCGAUUGGAGCGGCCGAUAUCAGAUUAGGUAGUUGGUGAGGUAAAGGCUCACCAAGCCGACGAUCUGUAGCUGGUCUGAGAGGACGACCAGCCACACUGGGACUGAGACACGGCCCAGACUCCUACGGAGGCAGCAGUGGGGAAUUUUUGGGACAAUGGGCGCAAGCCUGAUCCAGCAAUGCCGCGUGCAGGAUGAAGG
This 384-nucleotide ribosomal RNA is filed under the name uncultured bacterium. RNAcentral's name for it is "bacterial SSU rRNA". It matches the Rfam family "Bacterial small subunit ribosomal RNA", at positions 30 to 414 of the family's 1533-position model. The record is from RNAcentral.